GAAUCUUCCGCAAUGGGCGAAAGCCUGACGGAGCGACGCCGCGUGGAGGACGAAGGCCUUCGGGUUGUAAACCCCUGUCACGGGUGAUGAAUGCCGUGGCGUGAACAGCGCCACGGUUGACGUAGGCCCGAGAGGAAGCACUGGCUCACUCGGUGCCAGCCGCCGCAGUAAUACGGGGAGUGCGAACGUUGUUCGGAAUUACUGGGCUUAAAGCGCACGUAGGGGGCGCCGCAAGUGUGGGGUGAAAGCCCACGGCUUACCCGUGGAAUUGCCUGGCAGACUGCGGUGCUAGAGGAUGGUAGGGGAGAGCGGAACUCCUGGUGGAGCGGUGAAAUGCGUAGAUAUCAGGAGGAACACCGGUGGCGAAGGCGGCUCUCUGGUCCAUUUCUGACGCUGAGGUGCGAAAGCUAGGGGAGCAAACGGG
RNAcentral lists this ribosomal RNA (424 nucleotides) under uncultured bacterium. Its description in RNAcentral is "bacterial SSU rRNA". It matches the Rfam family "Bacterial small subunit ribosomal RNA", at positions 359 to 776 of the family's 1533-position model. The record is from RNAcentral.